This 465-nucleotide ribosomal RNA is filed under the name uncultured bacterium. RNAcentral describes it as "partial 16S ribosomal RNA". It matches the Rfam family "Bacterial small subunit ribosomal RNA", at positions 28 to 507 of the family's 1533-position model. The record is from RNAcentral.
GAUGAACGCUGGCGGCGUGCUUAACACAUGCAAGUCGAACGGAAAGGCUCCUGCUUGCAGGGGUACUCGAGUGGCGAACGGGUGAGUAACACGUGGGUGAUCUGCCCUGCACUUCGGGAUAAGCCUGGGAAACUGGGUCUAAUACCGGAUAGGACGAUGGUUUGGAUGCCAUUGUGGAAAGUUUUUCGGUGUGGGAUGAGCUCGCGGCCUAUCAGCUUGUUGGUGGGGUAACGGCCUACCAAGGCGUCGACGGGUAGCCGGCCUGAGAGGGUGUACGGCCACAUUGGGACUGAGAUACGGCCCAGACUCCUACGGGAGGCAGCAGUGGGGAAUAUUGCACAAUGGGCGCAAGCCUGAUGCAGCGACGCCGCGUGGGGGAUGACGGCCUUCGGGUUGUAAACUCCUUUCGCUAGGGACGAAGCGCAAGUGACGGUACCUGGAGAAGAAGCACCGGCUAACUACGUG